UACGUAGGUGACCAGCGUUGUCCGGAAUUAUUGGGCGUAAAGAGCUCGUAGGCGGUUUGUCGCGUCUGCCGUGAAAGUCCGGGGCUCAACUCCGGAUCUGCGGUGGGUACGGGCAGACUAGAGUGAUGUAGGGGAGACUGGAAUUCCUGGUGUAGCGGUGAAAUGCGCAGAUAUCAGGAGGAACACCGAUGGCGAAGGCAGGUCUCUGGGCAUUAACUGACGCUGAGGAGCGAAAGCAUGGGGAGCGAACAGG
Molecule: ribosomal RNA, 253 nt
Filed under: uncultured bacterium
Lineage: Bacteria
Description: partial 16S ribosomal RNA
Rfam family: Bacterial small subunit ribosomal RNA
Source: RNAcentral